RNAcentral lists this transfer RNA (90 nucleotides) under Amborella trichopoda. Its description in RNAcentral is "tRNA AMTR_s04664t00273160". The record is from RNAcentral. Lineage: Eukaryota; Viridiplantae; Streptophyta; Magnoliopsida; Amborellales; Amborellaceae.
UAUUACUAGUAGUACAUACAAGUAUGUACUACUGGUAUUAGUAUUAGUAGUGCUACAACUACUAGUAUGUACUAGUUGUACUAGUAUUAU